Dalotia coriaria is the source of this 489-nucleotide long non-coding RNA. RefSeq lists it as uncharacterized. The transcript is spliced from 2 exons. Lineage: Eukaryota; Metazoa; Arthropoda; Insecta; Coleoptera; Staphylinidae. The record is from RefSeq and is a predicted model, not a curated record.
CUUCCAGCUGAGAACAUGUUCAUAAUUAAUUUGUCCUUAAAUACACGUGUUGCAAUCUAUUUUUAUUUAUGGAUUGCAACAAUUGUUGCAAGCAUUCAUGCAACAACAUAUAUGAUCCAAAGUAAAACCCCAGGUAUUUCAAUGUGUAACUUUCGAGUAUUACGCCUACCGGAUUUCUCAGAAACAAAAAUCCAGUGUGAAACAAUCCGAUGUCCUCAAUUAUUGCGUGAUAUCAAUAUAUUUCAUAAAAUCAAAGAUAUUCUCAUCGAAGAUAAACAAAUUACGCAAGGAAGCACCGCGGUAAUCAAAUCCGGAGGACGUAGUUACCCAUCGAUAGAAAUAGAAGUAUGUACGCCACCGCAACACGGCUACAGUUACGAAAUUUGUAUUAAUCGACACAUUGAAUCAUUUGAUAAGAAAAUUAUUUAAUGUUGUUUCGACUAUGAGUUGUAUUAAUGUGCCGGUUUGAUAUAAAGUAAUUGAUAUGAA